This 156-nucleotide ribosomal RNA is filed under the name Oxyspirura petrowi. RNAcentral describes it as "5.8S ribosomal RNA". It matches the Rfam family "5.8S ribosomal RNA". Rfam says of the family: 5.8S ribosomal RNA (5.8S rRNA) is a component of the large subunit of the eukaryotic ribosome. It is transcribed by RNA polymerase I as part of the 45S precursor that also contains 18S and 28S rRNA. The record is from RNAcentral. Lineage: Eukaryota; Metazoa; Nematoda; Chromadorea; Rhabditida; Thelaziidae.
ACACUCUUAGCGGUGGAUCACUUGGCUUGUGGAUCGAUGAAGAACGCAGCUAGCUGCGAUAAAUAGUGCGAAUUGCAGACGCAUUGAGCACAAAAAUUUCGAAUGCAUAUUGCACCAUUGGGUUCAUUCCCGAUGGUACAUUUGGUUGAGGGUCAA